CUCAUUCGGAUUGGAGUCUGCAACUCGACUCCAUGAAGCUGGAUUCGCUAGUAAUCGCGCAUCAGCCAUGGCGCGGUGAAUACGUUCCCGGGCCUUGUACACACCGCCCGUCAAGCCAUGGGAGCCGGGGGUGCCUGAAGUACGUGACCGCGAGGAGCGUCCUAGGGCAAAACUGGUGACUGGGGCUAAGUCGUAACAAGGUAUC
This 205-nucleotide ribosomal RNA is filed under the name uncultured bacterium. RNAcentral describes it as "partial 16S ribosomal RNA". It matches the Rfam family "Bacterial small subunit ribosomal RNA", at positions 1288 to 1500 of the family's 1533-position model. The record is from RNAcentral.